GAAGUGAAAUAAAUUUUUACUCGAGCUCAAUAGCUUAUGUGACUUUAGUUUUACGAAAUCUGUGUAAUUAAGAUUUAUUUUCUAGACUAAAAUAAAUUUUUCAUCAAUAAAAUGUUUGUAUGGUGCUUUCAAUUAUGACUUAGAGAUUGCUGGUUAACGGACACGCUUAACAGUAAAGUGGAAGGGGAGUAUGACGAAGGAAAAGUUGUGGACAGACGAGAGCAGGUCGCUAUAUUCACACUCGCCGAGUUUUGUAACGGUUGCUCGCGGAAAUACACGACACUCGUAGCGAUGCAUCUAAGAUUCAUAAAACCAUAUGAAUAGGUUUUACUUACCGGGAACCAAACGUGCAUCGGUAGCUACAAGAGAUAAAGCUAAGGAUAGCAGGAUUCCCAGGAAUAACUUUAUGCUUUCGUUAGUGAUCGGUAUAACAAUUGCAACUGGAACUAUGUUUGUCCAGUUAUAUCCAAGAAGCAGGAAGUGAAAUAUAUUAGUGCUUAAGCGUAAUGGCUUAUGUGACUUUAGUUUUAAGAAAUCUGUUUAAUUCGGAACUAAUUUCUAUAUUAAAAUCAUUUUGAAUUAAAAAUUGGGUUGCAUAUUAGAUUUUUAUUUUACAGAUUCAUCUUAGAAUCAUAAAACCAUAGGAAUAGAAUCCUACGAAUCCCUUCCUUCAUUUUCGGGAACCAAACGAGCAUCGGUGGCUACAAGGGAUAAAGCUAAAGAUAGCAGGACACCCAGG
Drosophila pseudoobscura is the source of this 739-nucleotide long non-coding RNA. RefSeq lists it as uncharacterized. Lineage: Eukaryota; Metazoa; Arthropoda; Insecta; Diptera; Drosophilidae. The record is from RefSeq and is a predicted model, not a curated record. The transcript is spliced from 2 exons.